RNAcentral lists this ribosomal RNA (253 nucleotides) under uncultured bacterium. RNAcentral's name for it is "partial 16S ribosomal RNA". It matches the Rfam family "Bacterial small subunit ribosomal RNA", at positions 524 to 776 of the family's 1533-position model. The record is from RNAcentral.
UACGGAGGGUGCAAGCGUUAUCCGGAAUCACUGGGUUUAAAGGGUGCGUAGGCGGCUUAGUAAGUCAGAAGUGAAAGCCUGCGGCUUAACCGUAGAAUUGCUUUUGAUACUGCUGAGCUUGAAUUAGGUUGAGGUUGGCGGAAUGUGACAUGUAGCGGUGAAAUGCAUAGAUAUGUCAUAGAACACCAAUUGCGAAGGCAGCUGACUAGACCUUAAUUGACGCUGAGGCACGAAAGCGUGGGGAGCGAACAGG